GUGUAGCUCAGAUGGUAGAGAACUUGUCUGGCACACAUGAGGUCCUGGGUUUGAUUCCUAGCAC
Molecule: transfer RNA, 64 nt
Filed under: Cricetulus griseus (Chinese hamster)
Lineage: Eukaryota; Metazoa; Chordata; Mammalia; Rodentia; Cricetidae
Rfam family: tRNA
About the family: Transfer RNA (tRNA) molecules are approximately 80 nucleotides in length. Their secondary structure includes four short double-helical elements and three loops (D, anti-codon, and T loops).
Source: Rfam by way of RNAcentral